UUCCUUAAAGGUACUCUCUGGUGUAGAUAGCUAGGACCAUCAAGAAGUCAAGCAGAAAGCCAGUCUUAUUAGCACAAGGAAUCUGGAGAGAGUGUUUAGGAUUGCCAGAGCUGCUGGCAAGUUAGGGGAAGAAACAGUGAAAAGGAAUCUGAAGAGGAGGGAAAUUCUGAACUGCACACAAAUGGACAAGACUCUCAACAACUGAGAAGGCUGAAACAACUAAGCAGAGGUUUCAACUGCUGUUUACUUGCUACAGGGAAGACUAAGUCUGGAGUCCCACAGACUUAGAAGGACUUGUGAAAUCUACUGAAAAGAACCCACACCAAAUUUAUUCUGCAAAGGAAGCAGGGAACAAGCAAUGGGAAGUUGGUGUCAAAAUGCAGAAAAACCUCCCAGCAAGCUUCUUGCAACCACCCAGGAUUUAGAGUCUUGCUGGUCGCUCUCUUUUCAAUACCAGAAUUUCACACAUUUCAAUGACUAUUAUGACUUCAAAGAAUCAAAUUUUCAUCAUUGUCCGUCAUCUGCCGGUUGAUUUGUAUAAAGGAGUUCUUCUGCAUGCACUCCAAACAAAAGCCUCCUUACUUUUGUGGUUAUAUAUCAAGUUUAAAAGUUUUGUUUGUGACAGUUGUGUCUUUGGUAAAUUAGGGUAACACUGAAGGAGUGCAGCUGCUCUGCAGGAACCUCCUUUCUGGCACCAUUUCACUUAAAUAAAAACUGAAUAAUUAGCUUCUGCCUUUAUUAAACCACAAAAAUGCCACUGGCCUUAGUAAUUACUUCCAGUUGCCCCACCCACUUAACCUUAAUAGUUUACACUUGUCAUAAGGAGAAAUAAAUGAAAAAGGUUUUCACCACUUUGGUGAAUUUUUGACAGAUCUCCCAGCACAUCCAGAAGAGCCAAAAUUUUAACCAGGUUUCUGGGUAAUAAGGUCAAUAAAUUGCAUGUAUGGAUCGAUGUUGAAAAGUUUUAAUAGAGCACAUGCUGGAACAUUAAGUACAAAUACUGCUUAUAGAAACUUGUUCUACUGCAAGCUUUUAGUUACCAAUUAUGUAUUUAAAUUUAUUCUAGGGCUAAAACUGAUCUAAAUU
Long non-coding RNA from Prionailurus viverrinus (fishing cat), 1086 nucleotides. RefSeq lists it as uncharacterized. NCBI's taxonomy places the organism in Eukaryota, Metazoa, Chordata, Mammalia, Carnivora, Felidae. The record is from RefSeq and is a predicted model, not a curated record. The transcript has 3 exons.